Toxorhynchites rutilus septentrionalis is the source of this 1158-nucleotide long non-coding RNA. RefSeq lists it as uncharacterized. NCBI's taxonomy places the organism in Eukaryota, Metazoa, Arthropoda, Insecta, Diptera, Culicidae. The transcript has 3 exons. The record is from RefSeq and is a predicted model, not a curated record.
CACAAAAUCAAGUCAACAGUAAUAUGAUUGCUCAGCAACAAUUUUUAAUGCAAAUUUUCAGCACAAAAACUAACAGACCGAUAUUUUGCGCCGAUUGCUCAUGAAAAACAACGUUGGGAAUGCAACUGAUCCACCACAAAUGCAACAACAGCAACAAUCAACCCAACAGCCGCACUAUCCAUCCCAACGUGAGCUUCAGUUCCAUACCCAAUCCAUAAUGCAGAACGCUUUGCUCCGUAGAAAAACUGCAGGAGCAACGCAAGGUGCUUUGUGAUCAGAACAGUCGAAUUGCUGCCGCUGUGAUUAACAAAGGUGAACCAAAUGCAGCCGUGCAGCAAUUCGUACAAUCGAUUUGUCUAAACAUUCAGCGAAGUCUUUUGGUUCUUAGUCAAACUGCUAACCGGCCGGUGACAAAUAUCCUAAUGGUACAUAUUUCUUUGCAAAGCCGUCUGCAGGAGCAACUACCCUCCGUCACGCAAAAAUUGUAUCAAGAGAAACGUGGUGGUCCCAUGAGCGCUAGAAGUUCUUAGAAAGCAUCGAAUUCUACGAAUCAAUUCCUGCAUGUUACGAGAGAACGCCCAUUCCAAUGCACACAGGCUUCAAUAGGAAACCACCGCCAGCUUCAGUUUCACCAACAGCAGGGACAGGUACAGCUAGUCAUUCUAAUGUGGUUCCUCUGUUGUCAUCUGCAGGCGCAAAUGGUUUUUCAGGUCUGCUCAGUGGUGGAAGCCACGAUGGUGAUGACAUAAUAGGUUCGCUUGAGGAGGAGACAUCGCACUGUAGGAUCAGCUCGAGCGGAAGAAGCUGUCUAAUAAGAAUAAUGUCGACAUCCAGAAGGUGAUUUGACACUUGAUAGUGCCAGGUCCGAUGCAAAUAUGCGAACGCUAGGAAAUAUCGAAAUUUACAGAGAAUACAAGGAAUCACUGCGUCAGCGCAAUCAGGUCGAUAUCUACCGACCCAAAGAGCAGCAAACCUAUACACGUAGCCCUAUUCCAAAAGUAAUAAAGUUUCGAUAAAACUCUUAAAUAGUUUUGAGAGACCGACCGUACAUGACUAUUCGAAUCGAACUAAUGAGAUGUUGUAUGAAUUUUGUAGUAAACUGGAGUUUCUUUAUUAUCACACAAAUAUAAAAUUUAGUUUCGCGAAUAGUGCUAAAAU